This is a long non-coding RNA of Mus musculus (house mouse), 636 nucleotides long. RefSeq annotates it as RIKEN cDNA 9230104M06 gene. The transcript has 3 exons. Lineage: Eukaryota; Metazoa; Chordata; Mammalia; Rodentia; Muridae. The record is from RefSeq and is a predicted model, not a curated record.
GCGGGGCGAGGAGCGCAGCCCGGGACCCGACUCGGGCCGUGGGAGGAGCCUAGGAGGAAAUGCGGGCUGAGGGAGGAGCCUGGGACAGGGGCGAGGCUUAAAGUGACGGGGCCCGGAGUAGGCCGGUGGGUGGAGCUGGGACGAGUAUGGGAGGAGCCUGUAGAUGGCGCCGAGGCCACGAAGCUUUCGGCGCUGCUCACAAUCUCAGCCAUACCUGUCAGUCCUUGGGAAGUUUAGCAAAUCUUGUGCACUACUACAGGAUACAACCUGACACUGAGAGCCCACUCCAUCUGGCCUGCGAUAAUCUGAAAGUCCCCAAUUCCUGUUAAAUCCCAGGGCUCAGUGUGACCGCAUCAAGUAGAGAUACUGGCUCAGACCUGUAAUCCCAGCAAUCGAGAGGAUCACGGACUUAAAGCUGCCUCAGCGACAUACAGACCUAGGGUCAAACGUAUGACCCUAUUUCAAGAAGCAGUUAAAUUGUUGCUUUCAGAGCAGAAGGAUCAUUUUCGUUAACAAAAUAAAAUAACCCUACAGAAAAGCUAUCCUUUCACUCACUCUGAUGAAACAGGAUUGAACACCUGUGUGCUGUCAGGGGUAUUGUGUCUUUUAUGACUGUCAUUGGCUGUUCUCUGUAUU